Molecule: ribosomal RNA, 565 nt
Filed under: uncultured bacterium
Lineage: Bacteria
Description: partial 16S ribosomal RNA
Rfam family: Bacterial small subunit ribosomal RNA
Source: RNAcentral
UGGGGAAUUUUGGACAAUGGGCGAAAGCCUGAUCCAGCAAUGCCGCGUGUGUGAAGAAGGCCUUCGGGUUGUAAAGCACUUUUGUCCGGAAAGAAAUCCUUGGCUCUAAUACAGUCGGGGGAUGACGGUACCGGAAGAAUAAGCACCGGCUAACUACGUGCCAGCAGCCGCGGUAAUACGUAGGGUGCAAGCGUUAAUCGGAAUUACUGGGCGUAAAGCGUGCGCAGGCGGUUUGCUAAGACCGAUGUGAAAUCCCCGGGCUCAACCUGGGAACUGCAUUGGUGACUGGCAGGCUAGAGUAUGGCAGAGGGGGUAGAAUUCCACGUGUAGCAGUGAAAUGCGUAGAGAUGUGGAGGAAUACCGAUGGCGAAGGCAGCCCCCUGGGCCAAUACUGACGCUCAUGCACGAAAGCGUGGGGAGCAAACAGGAUUAGAUACCCUGGUAGUCCACGCCCUAAACGAUGUCAACUAGUUGUUGGGGAUUCAUUUCCUUAGUAACGUAGCUAACGCGUGAAGUUGACCGCCUGGGGAGUACGGUCGCAAGAUUAAAACUUAAAUGAAUUGAC